Molecule: ribosomal RNA, 772 nt
Filed under: uncultured Streptococcus sp.
Lineage: Bacteria; Bacillati; Bacillota; Bacilli; Lactobacillales; Streptococcaceae
Description: bacterial SSU rRNA
Rfam family: Bacterial small subunit ribosomal RNA
Source: RNAcentral
GACGAACGCUGGCGGCGUGCUAAUACAUGCAAGUAGAACGCACAGUAUAUACCGUAGCUUGCUACACCAUAGACUGUGAGUUGCGAACGGGUGAGUAACGCGUAGGUAACCUGCCUGGUAGCGGGGGAUAACUAUUGGAAACGAUAGCUAAUACCGCAUAAUAUUAAUUAUUGCAUGAUAAUUGAUUGAAAGAUGCAACUGCAUCACUACCAGAUGGACCUGCGUUGUAUUAGCUAGUAGGUGAGGUAACGGCUCACCUAGGCGACGAUACAUAGCCGACCUGAGAGGGUGAUCGGCCACACUGGGACUGAGACACGGCCCAGACUCCUACGGGAGGCAGCAGUAGGGAAUCUUCGGCAAUGGACGAAAGUCUGACCGAGCAACGCCGCGUGAGUGAAGAAGGUUUUCGGAUCGUAAAGCUCUGUUGUAAGAGAAGAACGGGUGUGAGAGUGGAAAGUUCACACUGUGACGGUAUCUUACCAGAAAGGGACGGCUAACUACGUGCCAGCAGCCGCGGUAAUACGUAGGUCCCGAGCGUUGUCCGGAUUUAUUGGGCGUAAAGCGAGCGCAGGCGGUUAGAUAAGUCUGAAGUUAAAGGCUGUGGCUUAACCAUAGUACGCUUUGGAAACUGUUUAACUUGAGUGCAGAAGGGGAGAGUGGAAUUCCAUGUGUAGCGGUGAAAUGCGUAGAUAUAUGGAGGAACACCGGUGGCGAAAGCGGCUCUCUGGUCUGUAACUGACGCUGAGGCUCGAAAGCGUGGGGAGCGAACAGG